GGUUAUGGCUCAGUGGUAGAGCACUUGCCUAGCAUGCAUGAGGCACUGGGUUCAAUCCCUGGCACCA
RNAcentral lists this transfer RNA (67 nucleotides) under Urocitellus parryii (Arctic ground squirrel). RNAcentral describes it as "Spermophilus parryii (Arctic ground squirrel) tRNA". It matches the Rfam family "tRNA". From Rfam's summary of the family: Transfer RNA (tRNA) molecules are approximately 80 nucleotides in length. Their secondary structure includes four short double-helical elements and three loops (D, anti-codon, and T loops). Further hydrogen bonds mediate the characteristic L-shaped molecular structure. tRNAs have two regions of fundamental functional importance: the anti-codon, which is responsible for specific mRNA codon recognition, and the 3' end, to which the tRNAs corresponding amino acid is attached (by aminoacyl-tRNA synthetases). tRNAs cope with the degeneracy of the genetic code in two manners: having more than one tRNA (with a specific anti-codon) for a particular amino acid; and 'wobble' base-pairing, i.e. permitting non-standard base-pairing at the 3rd anti-codon position. RNAcentral also lists the same sequence under 1 other name. The record is from Rfam by way of RNAcentral. Lineage: Eukaryota; Metazoa; Chordata; Mammalia; Rodentia; Sciuridae.